Non-coding RNA from Bubalus bubalis (water buffalo), 83 nucleotides. Lineage: Eukaryota; Metazoa; Chordata; Mammalia; Artiodactyla; Bovidae. The record is from the annotation of a RefSeq genome assembly.
GUCAGGAUGGCCGAGUGGUCUCAGGCACUGCAUUCAGGUUGCAGUCUUCCCUGGAGGCGUGGGUUUGAAUCCCACUUCUGACA